Molecule: ribosomal RNA, 273 nt
Filed under: uncultured bacterium
Lineage: Bacteria
Description: partial 16S ribosomal RNA
Rfam family: Bacterial small subunit ribosomal RNA
Source: RNAcentral
UACGUAGGGGGCGAGCGUUGUCCGAAUUUACUGGGCGUAAAGCGCGCGUAGGCGGACCUUUAAGUUGGGGGUGAAAUUCCGGGGCUCAACCUCGGAACUGCCUUCAAAACUGGGGGUCUUGAGGUAUGGAGAGGGAAGUGGAAUUCCUGGUGUAGCGGUGAAAUGCGUAGAUAUCAGGAGGAACACCCGUGGCGAAGGCGGCUUCCUGGCCAUAUCCUGACGCUGAGGUGCGAAAGCCAGGGGAGCGAACGGGAUUAGAUACCCCCGUAGUCC